GCAAUGGUGCAAGCAUCUAUAUAAAGAUCGAAAAUCUUUCUGUAUGAAGAGUACUGGGAUAUUUCAAUAUAUAAGUUUGAGAGAAAAUGAGAGUUUCUUUCUUUUCUUUCAUGGCUUUUUUUAGAGUUUUGGCCUUCUUUGCUCUAAUCUUUUCUUAUGUUGAGAAUCCGAUUCCUGAUACAGGGAAACAAUGUGAAAGUUUAAGCAAAACUUGGCAUGGGAGAUGUUGGUCCACUAAAUUAUGUAAUAAGCAUUGCAUUAUUGAGGAGCAGGCAGAACGUGGAGGAUGUUAUGAGUUUUGGCGUAGAAAGUGCUAUUGCUUUUACAAAUGCCCCUGAGAGAGAUCACUGCAACAAAACAUCCUUAUUCAAGAAUUUAAAUUUUUAUUUUUACAAAGAAUUUAGGGCUCGUCUGAUAAUAUUUAUAUAUAUAUAUAUAUAUAUAUAUAUAUAUAUAUAUAUAUAUAUAUAUAUAGUCUUGAGUAUUUUGUGGGUGUUUCUUGUGUUUGAAUUGUUUGCUAUAAAUGCUUUUGCAUUUUUGCUAAAAAUCAGUCCUAAUAAGCAUUAGCAAACGAACCCUGCAAUCAUCUUGAUUGCUCAUGCUGAUGCGGACUGUCAUACAAUUUGGAAAACGUAGCUAGGAAAAUUAGCUGCUGAAUUUGUUUUUCUUUUUCUUUUCUACAAGUAAUAAUCCAAUGGUGAUCCAUAACGAAUUUAGGCUCUACAUAAGCCUAAUAAGAUGGCCUUAGCCGCUAGUUGAUAUAUUUUGAUCUGUUUAUCAAUAAGAAAUACUUAGGUUGAGUUUUUUUUUUUUUUUCUUUUUUUUUUAAAAAAAAAGUAAUAUUUUUCUUUUUUUGCCUAAAUUCCUUGACCGUUGUUCACAAGCCUCAAAUUCAUCUAUAGAAUACAUCUUGUGUGAAGGAGGAAGAUGAGUUUGUUCAUGAAGGGUUCCAAGAAAACGAGUUCGUUGAUGAGGAGUUCCAACAAGAAGAAGAUGAAAAACAUUCUCAAGGAUUCAUAGAUUGAAAUAGUACAUCAACUUAUAAACCGAUUGAUAUUGAUGAUGAAAAUCUUGUGGUAAGUUAUUUGUCAUAUGGUACAUAGGACGAAUUUGUAGUAUAUUAGGUCUUUCCACCAACCUAUAACAUUUAUCCUGAUUGCCAAAGAUUAUAAGGGAGAUGUGGUAACUUCUUGUGUAGCAAAAAGCAUGUAAUUGACCCAACAAUAGCUAAGGCGUAGGCUGUAUGGAGGCUAUAGAAUUUUAUAAAGACUUGGAGUUUCAAUGCGUUAUGAUUGAAGGAGACGCAUUGGAGAUUGCA
Alnus glutinosa is the source of this 1318-nucleotide long non-coding RNA. RefSeq lists it as uncharacterized. Lineage: Eukaryota; Viridiplantae; Streptophyta; Magnoliopsida; Fagales; Betulaceae. The transcript is spliced from 2 exons. The record is from RefSeq and is a predicted model, not a curated record.